CGGAAGGAUCAUUACCGAGUGAGGGCCCUCUGGGUCCAACCUCCCACCCGUGUUUAUUUUACCUUGUUGCUUCGGCGGGCCCGCCUUUACUGGCCGCCGGGGGGCUCACGCCCCCGGGCCCGCGCCCGCCGAAGACACCCUCGAACUCUGUCUGAAGAUUGAAGUCUGAGUGAAAAUAUAAAUUAUUUAAAACUUUCAACAACGGAUCUCUUGGUUCCGGCAUCGAUGAAGAACGCAGCGAAAUGCGAUACGUAAUGUGAAUUGCAAAUUCAGUGAAUCAUCGAGUCUUUGAACGCACAUUGCGCCCCCUGGUAUUCCGGGGGGCAUGCCUGUCCGAGCGUCAUUGCUGCCCUCAAGCCCGGCUUGGUGUGUUGGGCCCCGUCCUCCGAUUUCCGGGGGACGGGCCCGAAAGGCAGCGGCGGCACCGCGUCCGGUCCUCGAGCGUAUGGGGCUUUGUCACCCGCUCUGUAGGCCCGGCCGGCGCUUGCCGAUCAACCCAAAUUUUUAUCCAGGUUGACCUCGGAUCAGGUAGGGAUACCCGCUGAACUUA
Molecule: ribosomal RNA, 550 nt
Filed under: Penicillium sp. P141_D1_7
Lineage: Eukaryota; Fungi; Ascomycota; Eurotiomycetes; Eurotiales; Aspergillaceae
Description: eukaryotic LSU rRNA
Rfam family: 5.8S ribosomal RNA (bases 191-343)
Source: RNAcentral